Molecule: long non-coding RNA, 814 nt
Filed under: Rattus norvegicus (Norway rat)
Lineage: Eukaryota; Metazoa; Chordata; Mammalia; Rodentia; Muridae
Description: long non-coding RNA NONRATT034083
Source: RNAcentral
CACCGCCUCUGUCAACUCCUUCCCGCACGUCAGAUGUGUCAGGGACACGUCAUCCAGGAUGAGCCCGAAUGUUGCUGCUCGCUCUGUGAGGACAUCGCUCACCUGCCUGGAGACCAGCUCUCGCUGGGUAAUCAAUUCUCCAGCAUCGAAUCGAGCCACCACCGACUUGAGGAUCUCUGUGGUGACAGAUGGCAGCACCCGCUCAUCAUAGUCCUCGCCAAUACUGGUGUAGAUACCGGGAAGCUGGCUAGCCACUGGCCGGAAGAGGAUAACAUAGUGAUGUUGACAUUCUGGAAGUCUUUGCUACCAGUGAUGACCGGCACAUUCCGUGGUCGAGAGCAGCAGUCAAAGAGGAUUGGCUUCUGUACCCAAGGGAUGAGAAAGUGGCUUCAUUCUCAGAUCACUUUUCUGAAUAAUAUCUGGGCUAAUUCAUGAAGGAGCUUGUACUCACUACAUGGCGAUUGUUAACAUUUAGGGCUUUUGUGAACUGCCAUCCAAAUCAUUGGUAAGUUGCAUCUGGCAUGGUGAGAGCAUUUACAACACAGAAAUCAACACAGACUAUACAUAAUUGUGACACUGAACCUGAAGUAUUCAUUAAACAUGGGGAGGGGAAUACCCAUAUAGAAGGGGAGGGGAGGGGCUAGGGGGAUGUUGGCCUGGAAACCGGUAAAGGGAAUAACAAUUGAAAUGUAAAUAAGAAAUACCCAAUUUAAUAAAGAUGGAAAAAUAUGCCAGUGCAUAACUUAUUAAUCCUUUAAAAUUGUAUUGACCAUGAGUUAUAGUUUAAACAAUAUUCUAGAAGAAAGGAAAUCAU